UACGUAGGUGGCAAGCGUUAUCCGGAAUUAUUGGGCGUAAAGAGCGCGCAGGUGGUUGAUUAAGUCUGAUGUGAAAGCCCACGGCUUAACCGUGGAGGGUCAUUGGAAACUGGUCGACUUGAGUGCAGAAGAGGGAAGUGGAAUUCCAUGUGUAGCGGUGAAAUGCGUUGAGAUAUGGAGGAACACCAGUGGCGAAGGCGGCUUCCUGGUCUGUAACUGACACUGAGGCGCGAAAGCGUGGGGAGCAAACAGGAUUAGAUA
RNAcentral lists this ribosomal RNA (261 nucleotides) under uncultured prokaryote. RNAcentral's name for it is "partial 16S ribosomal RNA". It matches the Rfam family "Bacterial small subunit ribosomal RNA", at positions 524 to 784 of the family's 1533-position model. The record is from RNAcentral.